Molecule: long non-coding RNA, 139 nt
Organism: Haplochromis burtoni (Burton's mouthbrooder)
Lineage: Eukaryota; Metazoa; Chordata; Actinopteri; Cichliformes; Cichlidae
Exons: 2
Source: RefSeq, a predicted model, not a curated record
GAAACAGGGCCCAGGUUUGGAGUGGAGCUUGUUGUUGGUGUGUGAAGAAACUACUGACUGAAGAUGAUGAUGGAGGAAGAGGAGGACAGAGCAGAGUCUGCAGGGUCCAGCUGUCCGUCUGUGAGGAGUGACCGGUCCA